RNAcentral lists this long non-coding RNA (1496 nucleotides) under Mus caroli (Ryukyu mouse). RNAcentral's name for it is "lncRNA (MGP_CAROLIEiJ_G0005340.1)". The record is from RNAcentral. Lineage: Eukaryota; Metazoa; Chordata; Mammalia; Rodentia; Muridae.
AGUUUGCAGGCUGGCAAACAGGCUGGGAAAGCCCUUGAGAGACUCAGACAGCUCAUGCCAUACUUCAGACUUCAUAGACCUGGGAGACAUCCAGCUUUCUCCCCCAGAGAAGCCGCAGCCUGGUCCCUUCCCCUGCCACACCAUCUGGUCCACAGAAACACCAGACUUCCGUGUCUCUCGGCCCUAUAAAAAGCAACAUUCCUUUUCCUGUCUUCUCUCCACCCGUCCCUCCCACCCACCCGUCUCUUCUCUCUCCUUGCCUUUGGUCUUUCUGUCUUAUCCCUUCUCCCCUGCCAAUCACUCCCUUUCUUCUCAACACUCCUCCUCCAUCUCCCCUCUGUGCACCUGCAGUGCUAUUCUUUGUCUAACCAUGAAAACAUCCCCGAAGGGCUUCUAGAACAUUCGUAUGUCUGGAGGAGUUAGAGUCCUCCAGCGCUGGGGUUGGCAAUUCUGCCUCCUUAGCGUCCAGGAUAGACGGAGCAUUUAUUUCGAGGCUUUGUGCGCCCUCUUGUGGUUUCUCCGUCAUGCCAACUCCCGCAGACAAUGGCUGCUUUGUCCAGGAGAGAUGAUGAUUUAUAUGACAACCUGGCUUAAACCUCAGAAACCUUCAAUUUCUCCUUCUUCAAACAGUUUUUAUUAGAAGGAUGGUUGUGAAAAAUGAAGUCCUUAUGCACAAAGCCACCGCGUUUCACUGCGAUGUUCACCUGGCCUAUGAAGAUCUCCGGACACAAAACCAAGCAACAAAAUCAGGAUGCAACAAGAUGGAGGGGCAAAGCACAGAAGAGGAGUGGACCCUGCCAUAGGAUGGUGACGAGUCCAAUCUUGUGCACGUCUUGUACACAGAAGAGCAGCAGCUGCAAGCUCAGGAACAAAACGGCCACAUCAUGCACAGAAGACAGGGCCCCAUGAUAGAUACUCCAUUUCUUCCUCAGACAUCCACUCUGAGAAAACAGUUGAGUUUCACUGGCCAUGAGAACCAUCUGGAUUCCGGUGAUAACUGGAUCCUCCUGUUCCCAAGGCUACCCAUCAAUGUCUGUGUGCCAGAUGUUGCUGGGGCUGCUCAGUCCUGCAAAGCUCUGUCGCCAGCCUUCUAGUAGAAGAAAUGUGCAAGCUGGAAGUGUCUCUUAGUCUCUUCACUGAUAGCCAAUGGAAUGUCCAUUUGAGCCAAUUUGGGGGAGAGUUUUUUAGCAGAAAUGAGGUGAACACUAAACGGCAAAAUGGAUCACCUUCCCGAGGCAGCUGCCACCACACUAUGAUGGAUCAGCCCCAUGAAAGGACACUCAGUUAUUAUUCCCUCUCACUCCGUAAACAGGAUAUAUUCAAAGUCAGCAGAUCAGUAAGAUAUUCCAGACAGAGCAUCCGUAGCAAAGAGUUAAGAUCUAAAUGCAACAAUUCAAAAGCCAGGAGAGAGACCCAGAAGCACAUGAUAGCUUUAUUAUUCUAAAUUGCCCAUUUUAGCACAGAUUCUAAAAUUGAAAUAGAGCAAAUUCUGCCUC